Peromyscus eremicus (cactus mouse) is the source of this 426-nucleotide long non-coding RNA. RefSeq lists it as uncharacterized. NCBI's taxonomy places the organism in Eukaryota, Metazoa, Chordata, Mammalia, Rodentia, Cricetidae. The transcript has 4 exons. The record is from RefSeq and is a predicted model, not a curated record.
AAUGUCACAGUGUCACAGGGCACGUUUUCCCUCUCACAUUGGGUCCCCAUGUGGAAUGUGUGCAGCCUGGGAUAUCCAUCAGGGGAUGACAGACUUAUGGCAACGUUGUGGGUCAGAGUUGUCAGGAUUGGACACACCCAGAGGUAUUCAUCAGUAAUCCUCUACUGAGAUUAAUUGACAGUCUUAGCUGAUAAUUGAACCUGAGAUCAUCUGAGAACCUGGGAAACCAUGUUCCAGCAUUAGUUUUGCAUCACACUGGACCACUAUUCUGAACCAUGAUUUGCAGACAUAGCAGAUGGGCAGGCAGAAGAACAGCAGGACUGCUUACCUGGUGUGUCAGUGAGUCACUCUACUGGAGAUAUUUCUUCAUACUAUUGAAGCCAUAAACAAGAAGUGACUGAACAAAUCAGAAAGUAAUAUACAUGG